This 497-nucleotide ribosomal RNA is filed under the name uncultured bacterium. RNAcentral describes it as "partial 16S ribosomal RNA". It matches the Rfam family "Bacterial small subunit ribosomal RNA", at positions 28 to 507 of the family's 1533-position model. The record is from RNAcentral.
GAUGAACGCUGGCGGCGUGCCUAAUACAUGCAAGUCGAGCGAACAGACGAGGAGCUUGCUCCUCUGACGUUAGCGGCGGACGGGUGAGUAACACGUGGAUAACCUACCUAUAAGACUGGGAUAACUUCGGGAAACCGGAGCUAAUACCGGAUAAUAUAUUGAACCGCAUGGUUCAUUAGUGAACGACGGUUUUGCUGUGCCUAAUAGAUGGAUCCGCGCCGCAUUAGCUAGUUGGUAAGGUAACGGCUUACCAAGGCAACGAUGCGUAGCCGACCUGAGAGGGUGAUCGGCCACACUGGAACUGAGACACGGUCCAGACUCCUACGGGAGGCAGCAGUAGGGAAUCUUCCGCAAUGGGCGAAAGCUUGACGGAGCAACGCCGCGUGAGUGAUGAAGGUCUUCGGAUCGUAAAACUCUGUUAUUAGGGAAGAACAAAUGUGUGAGUAACUAUGCACGUCUUGACGGUACCUAAUCAGAAAGCCACGGCUAACUACGUG